Erinaceus europaeus (western European hedgehog) is the source of this 153-nucleotide non-coding RNA. Lineage: Eukaryota; Metazoa; Chordata; Mammalia; Eulipotyphla; Erinaceidae. The record is from Rfam.
UCAUCACAUAGGAUAAUCUUUACAUGUUCCUCUUUUUGGAAAGAUGAUUAGAGCAUGACGAUAAGCAUUCACAUGACUUCUGGUUAUUAACUCUGCCACUGUAAUCAGAACUUUCAAUAUCUUUCAAACUAACUUAAUUCUCCUGACUCUGAU